This is a small nuclear RNA of Lepus europaeus (European hare), 107 nucleotides long. NCBI's taxonomy places the organism in Eukaryota, Metazoa, Chordata, Mammalia, Lagomorpha, Leporidae. The record is from RefSeq and is a predicted model, not a curated record.
GUGCUCAUUUCAGCAGCACAUACUUUAUAUUAAAUUGGAAAGAUACAGAAAUUGGAAUUGCCCUGCUCAAGGAUGGCAUGGAAAUUUGUUAAAUGUCUCAUCAUUUU